Molecule: long non-coding RNA, 613 nt
Organism: Oncorhynchus keta (chum salmon)
Lineage: Eukaryota; Metazoa; Chordata; Actinopteri; Salmoniformes; Salmonidae
Exons: 4
Source: RefSeq, a predicted model, not a curated record
CCCAGGACCAGCUGGAUGAGGGGACUGAGGCUUCAGUGUGUUAGUAGAACAGGUUAGUGAACUCAGCCCCAGGACCAGCUGGAUGAGGGGACUGAGGCUUCAGUGUGUUAGUAGAACAGGUUAGUGAACUCAGCCCCAGGACCAGCUGGAUGAGGGGACUGAGGCUUCAGUGUGUUAGUAGAACAGGUUAGUGAACUCAGCCCCAGGACCAGCUGGAUGAGGGGACUGAGGCUUCAGUGUGUUAGUAGAACAGGUUAGUGAACUCAGCCCCAGGACCAGCUGGAUGAGGGGACUGAGGCUUCAGUGUGUUAGUAGAACAGGUUAGUGAACUCAGGACCAGCUGGAUGAGGGGACUGAGGCUUCAGUGUGUUAGUAGAACAGGCUAGUGAACUCAGGACCAGCUGGAUGAGGGGACUGAGGCUUCAGUGUGUUAGUAGAACAGGUUAGUGAACUCAGCCCCAGGACCAGCUGGAUGAGGGGACUGAGGCUUCAGUGUGUUAGUAGAACAGGUUUGUGAACUCAGCACCAGGACCAGCUGGAUGAGGGGACUGAGGCUUCAGUGUGUUAGUAGAACAGGUUAGUGAACUCAGCCCCAGGACCAGCUGGAUGAGGG